Molecule: small nucleolar RNA, 107 nt
Organism: Lupinus angustifolius (narrow-leaved blue lupine)
Lineage: Eukaryota; Viridiplantae; Streptophyta; Magnoliopsida; Fabales; Fabaceae
Rfam family: Plant small nucleolar RNA R71
About the family: R71 is a member of the C/D box family of snoRNAs containing the C (UGAUGA) and D (CUGA) box motifs. Multiple nearly identical copies of this snoRNA have been identified in Arabidopsis, and it is thought to function as a 2'-O-ribose methylation guide for 18S ribosomal RNA.
Source: Rfam
AAUCCAUGGUUUGGACAUUUCCUCAACAUUGAUUUGUACCUCUCCCAGGCUUCACAUAAACUUUCACCUGCAAACUGAGAGAAAGUAGAAAUAGCAGUUUUAAAAUC